GGGGUUCAAGCUCAUCGGUAGAGCGCUCGCUUAGCAUGCGAGAGGUACAGGAUUCGACUCCCUGGUACUCCA
RNAcentral lists this transfer RNA (72 nucleotides) under Puccinia graminis f. sp. tritici CRL 75-36-700-3. RNAcentral describes it as "tRNA-Ala (AGC) (tRNA-Ala-AGC-4-1)". It matches the Rfam family "tRNA". From Rfam's summary of the family: Transfer RNA (tRNA) molecules are approximately 80 nucleotides in length. Their secondary structure includes four short double-helical elements and three loops (D, anti-codon, and T loops). The record is from RNAcentral. Lineage: Eukaryota; Fungi; Basidiomycota; Pucciniomycetes; Pucciniales; Pucciniaceae.